GAAAGAAAGAAAGAAAACCCAUAAGAAAUGAAAAGGGCAUUGUUAUUUUUUACAGGUAAUAUAAUUCUGUACUUAGAAAACCCAAAAUAAUUUACAGGAUAAUAUUUAGAAUUAAUGACGAGUCAUCACAUUUGCCAGGUAGCAAAGUGCAUUUCCUUAGUCCAAGAGUAAGAAAUUAGAAGGUACAGGUAAAUAAAGUGUACUAUUUAUAAAAGCUACCAAAAUAGUGGAGCUGAAACCAUUGCUUAUCUGGAGAAAAAGUAUAAAUGAACCCUUCCUGUUAUACCCACAAAUCAAUUCUAGAUGAAUUAAAAGGUAAAACUCGAAAGGCUUAGAACAACAUGUAGAAUAAUAUACUCUUUAGGAUAUGCUCUGGUGAUAAGGGAAAAAAAAUCUUAAAACUCAAAAUACAAAUCAAAGAAAGCAAAAUUAAGUUCCCUUGAAACUUUGGUCAUCAAAACACAGGAAGAGCCUGACAUGAUAAUGCAAGCCUGAAAUCCCUGCAAUUUGGGAAGCUGAGGCAGGAGAAUUGCAAGUUCAAGGUCAGCCUCAGCAAUUUAACAAGGUCCUAAGCAACUUAGUGAGACCCUAUCUCAAAAUUAGAAAAUAAAAUAAAAGGAGCUGGGGAUGUAGCUUGGUGAUAAAGUGCCCUGGGUUCAAUUCCCAGUACCAAAAUAAGAAGCAGUCAAGCAUGGUGACACUUGCCUGUAAUCUGAGCAGCUUGGGAAGCUGAAGCAGGAGGAUCUCAAGUUCAAGGCCAACCUGGGCAACUUAGUGAGACCCUUCUCAAAAUAAAAUGAAAAUGACUGGGAUGUAACUCAGUAGCAAAGUGCCCCAGGUAUUCAACUCUCAGUACAAAGCACAUACAGAAAGUAAAAAGAAAUAUCAAACUAAAAUGAAAGCUCUGCAACACACAUAAUGAGUCUUUUUUUUUUUUUUUAAGUUUCUAGAACCAUACUAUACAGAGUCUAUUAACCACGUAUGACUGUUGAGUACUUUGAAAUGCAACUUGGCCAAAUGAAGAGUGUGGUAAGUAUAAAAUACCAGAUUUCAAAGAGUUAGUACAAAAAUAAAAUUUGGUGGCAGGGGGAGUACUGGAGUACAUACCCAAUCCUUUUUAUUUUUUAUUUUGAGACAGGGUCUUACUAAAUUGCUAAGAUUCUCAGUAAGUUACUGAGGCUGGCCUCAAACUUAGGAUUCUCCUGCCUUAGCCGCCCUACUUGCUGGAAUAGUUUUUCAGAAAUUUUUUUUCUCUUUUUUUUGAGAGAGAGAGAGAGAAUUUUAAUAUUUAUUUUUUAGUUUUCAGCGGACACAACAUCUUUGUUUGUAUGUGGUGCUGAGGAUCGAACCCCGGCCGCACUCAUGCCAGGCAGCGCGCUACCACUUGAGCCACAUCCCCAGCCCAAUUUUUUUUCUCUUACAGAGGAAAAGGAAACACCCAGAAGGCUUCAGAGACAGAUACUAAGUCCUAUUUCUUAAAUGAGGCGGUAAGUAGAUAGGUU
RNAcentral lists this long non-coding RNA (1502 nucleotides) under Marmota monax (woodchuck). Lineage: Eukaryota; Metazoa; Chordata; Mammalia; Rodentia; Sciuridae. The record is from RNAcentral.